This 554-nucleotide ribosomal RNA is filed under the name Escherichia coli. RNAcentral describes it as "bacterial SSU rRNA". It matches the Rfam family "Bacterial small subunit ribosomal RNA", at positions 87 to 637 of the family's 1533-position model. The record is from RNAcentral. Lineage: Bacteria; Pseudomonadati; Pseudomonadota; Gammaproteobacteria; Enterobacterales; Enterobacteriaceae.
GCUGACGAGUGGCGGACGGGUGAGUAAUGUCUGGGAAACUGCCUGAUGGAGGGGGAUAACUACUGGAAACGGUAGCUAAUACCGCAUAACGUCGCAAGACCAAAGAGGGGGACCUUCGGGCCUCUUGCCAUCGGAUGUGCCCAGAUGGGAUUAGCUAGUAGGUGGGGUAACGGCUCACCUAGGCGACGAUCCCUAGCUGGUCUGAGAGGAUGACCAGCCACACUGGAACUGAGACACGGUCCAGACUCCUACGGGAGGCAGCAGUGGGGAAUAUUGCACAAUGGGCGCAAGCCUGAUGCAGCCAUGCCGCGUGUAUGAAGAAGGCCUUCGGGUUGUAAAGUACUUUCAGCGGGGAGGAAGGGAGUAAAGUUAAUACCUUUGCUCAUUGACGUUACCCGCAGAAGAAGCACCGGCUAACUCCGUGCCAGCAGCCGCGGUAAUACGGAGGGUGCAAGCGUUAAUCGGAAUUACUGGGCGUAAAGCGCACGCAGGCGGUUUGUUAAGUCAGAUGUGAAAUCCCCGGGCUCAACCUGGGAACUGCAUCUGAUACUGGC